RNAcentral lists this long non-coding RNA (543 nucleotides) under Bos indicus x Bos taurus (hybrid cattle). Its description in RNAcentral is "lncRNA (ENSBIXG00000015369.1)". Lineage: Eukaryota; Metazoa; Chordata; Mammalia; Artiodactyla; Bovidae. The record is from RNAcentral.
CUCAGGCAGAGAUACCCUCCUGCCCUACCCACUGUCCCCAGCACGCCCUGGCACAAAGGUCAGAUGGCCCUUAGGUGGAGCUGGGAAGGCCUCUGGAAGGGAUCUACCUGCUGCCAGGCAUGGCUUUCUACCGGUGCCCAUCUGGAGGGCACAGGAGGUCAACACCUAGGGAUCUCUCCUUGAGUCCCUUUGAAAGAGUGAUCACAGAAGAUGAUGUCCCCCCUGCCCGCAGAAGCUGCUGUCAGAUUCUCGGGAGGCUGCCAGCUCACGCUGUGGUCUGCAUGAUGCCAAGACACCCAUUGCAGCUGCCCAGAGACCUGCCCCUGGGCCCACCUUUUCUUCCUCUGCCAGCCAAAUUCACAGCAUUUUAAGAGGCCUCAUCCUCCACCUCUCCCCUGGAAAAUGAAGCAAAGACAGAAUGAGAGCAGGAGGCUGAAGGAACAUGAAAACAUCAGAGAGCAAAUGUAUAUGGCCUGCUAGAUGCUACUAGGAGAGAGGUUUUCCCUCUCUGCUUAUCUUGGUGGAAUCUGUUUUCAUAAUAAA